AAGAUGGCGACCGGCGCACGGGUGAGUAACACGUAUCCAACCUGCCGAUAACUCCGGAAUAGCCUUUCGAAAGAAAGAUUAAUACCGGAUAGCAUACGAAUAUCGCAUGAUAUUUUUAUUAAAGAAUUUCGGUUAUCGAUGGGGAUGCGUUCCAUUAGGUUGUUGGCGGGGUAACGGCCCACCAAGCCUUCGAUGGAUAGGGGUUCUGAGAGGAAGGUCCCCCACAUUGGAACUGAGACACGGUCCAA
Molecule: ribosomal RNA, 248 nt
Filed under: uncultured bacterium
Lineage: Bacteria
Description: partial 16S ribosomal RNA
Rfam family: Bacterial small subunit ribosomal RNA
Source: RNAcentral